ACAUCCCUGAUGAGGUCACUUCCUGUUCCUCCUCUCCAGUCAGUUCAGAUAAGUUGAGAUGAGAUGUCAGUUGGUUGUCAACGAUCACUAAGUCAACAUGAUCACACCUCUUAUCAUUAUCACUGCCCCACUAUUCUGGAUCACAGGUGUCUCUCUCAGUAAAUCAGUGUACCAGUCUCCCUCUACGUCGCUGGUGAAGCCUAAUGCCUCUGUUACACUCAACUGCAGUCAUAAAAUCCCCAGAUACGACACAGUCCUCUGGUACAAGCGUUCUGUGGAAGACACGGCUCUAAACCUCAUAGCUUAUAUAUACUAUAAAACCCCAACAGUUGAACCCUCAUAUAAAGGUUACUUUGACGUGAAAGGAGAUGGAGAGAACGAUGCCUUCCUUCAUAUCCUCAAACCGAGACAAGCUGAAGACAGUGGGGAGUAUUUCUGUGCUGCCAGUAUACACAGUGGUACAGAGACCUAGUCCACUCUACAAAAACCUCCCUCUGACACUACAUCAAAACACCUGCAUUAAACCACAUGAAGGAGCAGACUUCUGUUCAGAUACUAUCAACACCUGCAUUAAACCACAUGAACUAACAGACGUCUGUUCAGAGAGAGAGAGUGGGGGAGAGGAGACAGAAGGAGAGAGAGAGCGAGAGAGAGAGAGAAAGAGACAGAGAUUGGGGGGGAGAGAAAGAGAAAGAGAGAGACGUAGAGAGUGAGAUCAGAGCAAAUGCAUGGAGAUAGAGACAGAGAGAAUCUAGUUUCAAGGACCAAAUUAAAUUGAGAGGAAACGCAGAACAGUAUUGUGAUUUAAGUGUUUCCAACCUGACACAAGAGGACAGUGCAGUGUAUUUCUGUGCUGCCAGAGAGCACAGUGGAGCAGAUCCUGUCUCAGCCCUACAAAAACCACAUCUCAAAUACAAAGACACACCUCACACCUCCACUACAGUGUUCUGAACCAUAUAAACAUCCUCAACACUAAACAUCCUCAUUACUAAACAUCCUCAAUACUAAACAUCCUCAAUACUAAACAUCCUCAACACUAAACAUCCUCAAUACUAAACAUCCGCAAUACUAAACAUCCUCAAUACUAAACAUCCUCAACACUAAACAUCCUCAAUACCAAACC
Oncorhynchus mykiss (rainbow trout) is the source of this 1123-nucleotide non-coding RNA. NCBI's taxonomy places the organism in Eukaryota, Metazoa, Chordata, Actinopteri, Salmoniformes, Salmonidae. The record is from the annotation of a RefSeq genome assembly.